UACGUAGGGGGCAAGCGUUGUCCGGAAUCAUUGGGCGUAAAGCGCGCGUAGGCGGCCCGAUCAGUCCGCUGUAAAAGUCCAGGGCUCAACCCUGGAAAGCCGGUGGAUACUGUCGGGCUAGAGUCCGGAAGAGGCGAGUGGAAUUCCUGGUGUAGCGGUGGAAUGCGCAGAUAUCAGGAGGAACACCGAUAGCGAAGGCGGCAUCCUGGACCGACAUUGACGCUGAGGAGCGAAAGCCAGGGGAGCAAACGGG
RNAcentral lists this ribosomal RNA (253 nucleotides) under uncultured bacterium. Its description in RNAcentral is "partial 16S ribosomal RNA". It matches the Rfam family "Bacterial small subunit ribosomal RNA", at positions 524 to 776 of the family's 1533-position model. The record is from RNAcentral.